Molecule: ribosomal RNA, 494 nt
Filed under: uncultured bacterium
Lineage: Bacteria
Description: partial 16S ribosomal RNA
Rfam family: Bacterial small subunit ribosomal RNA
Source: RNAcentral
GACGAACGCUGGCGGCGUGCUUAACACAUGCAAGUCGAACGGUGAAGCGCCUUCCUUUUUGGUGGGUGUGGAUGAGUGGCGAACGGGUGAGUAACACGUGAGUAACCUGCCCCCUUCUUCUGGAUAACCGCAUGAAAGUGUGGCUAAUACGGGAUAUUCUGGGUCUGUCGCAUGAUGGGUCUGGGAAAGAUAUUGUUUCGGUGGGGGAUGGGCUCGCGGCCUAUCAGCUUGUUGGUGGGGUGAUGGCCUACCAAGGCGGUGACGGGUAGCCGGCCUGAGAGGGUGGACGGCCACACUGGGACUGAGCCACGGCCCAGACUCCUACGGGAGGCAGCAGUGGGGAAUAUGGCACAAUGGGCGCAAGCCUGAUGCAGCGACGCCGCGUGAGGGAUGGAGGCCUUCGGGUUGUGAACCUCUUUCGCCAGUGAAGCAGGCCUGCCUCGUUUGUGGGUGGGUUGAUGGUAGCUGGAUAAGAAGCGCCGGCUAACUACGUG